UUUCAUCCUAUUUCUUCCUCCUUUUAUCCUUUGGGGUGCUGGGUGCUGGGUUUUGGGUGGGGGUUGCGAGGAUGGAAAACCCCAUUUUUUAUCCUAUUUCUUCCUCCUUUUAUCCUUUGGGGAGUUGGGGGUGCUGGGUUUUGGGUUUUGGGGUGGGUUGUGAGGAUUGCAAACCCCAUUUUUCAUCCUAUUUCUUCCUCCUUUUAUCCUAUGGGGAGUUGGGUGCUGGGUUUUGGGUUUUAGGGUGGGUUGUGAGGA
Molecule: long non-coding RNA, 258 nt
Filed under: Phasianus colchicus (ring-necked pheasant)
Lineage: Eukaryota; Metazoa; Chordata; Aves; Galliformes; Phasianidae
Description: lncRNA (ENSPCLG00000017162.1)
Source: RNAcentral